This 28-nucleotide non-coding RNA is filed under the name Rattus norvegicus (Norway rat). Lineage: Eukaryota; Metazoa; Chordata; Mammalia; Rodentia; Muridae. The record is from RNAcentral.
UAGCUGGCAAAGACUACAGAACAGUCUG